GGCCGUGAUUUUCAUCCAAUUAAUUAUAAUUAAGAUUUUAUUUUCUCAACACAACCACGCAAUGGUACAAAACAAUGCAAUUAUCAGUAUUAUGAAAAACACAGUUAAUCGCGAAAGACUGAAGCCUAUACUUAGCAAGAGCCUGUAUUUUAGGACAACAACUUCUGCAAAGUUUUCAAAUUCACAGUUAAUACAGUUAUGUAUAUUACAAAUGGAAUCAUAAUCCCAAUACAGGCAAAAUUCCUACUUGUGGCGAGUGAGCAAGAAAAACACGUGAUCUCAGAUCUCCCAGCGCUAUAAAGAAGUUAAAUAAACAUCCGUAAUAGAUAAAAACAGAACAAGAUAACCGAAAUUUAAAUAACCGUAAAGUUAAGAUUACUCAACUCAUGGAACCGGACAUAGAAGAGUCCAAACAGGGUUGUCAAGUGCUUGAAAAUAGAGGACAUUAAGAUUUAAAACAUUUACAACUAUGGCCAUGAAUUGAACUACAUUUUUUUGUAAACCAUAAUCAGACAAUAUUCAGGGUACUGUUGAUGGUAGGUAGCACUAAGAAUAAUUUUAUGCAAGCAUUGGGGCCAUUCACAAACCGAAGAGAAGUCGUUCAACGGGCAUGUCAAGAGUCUAGAAUUUGUAACUUUAUGAACACGGAAUUUAUAUUAAAUGCAUACAUUUCACGGUAGUUA
Long non-coding RNA from Leptidea sinapis, 683 nucleotides. RefSeq lists it as uncharacterized. Lineage: Eukaryota; Metazoa; Arthropoda; Insecta; Lepidoptera; Pieridae. The transcript is spliced from 2 exons. The record is from RefSeq and is a predicted model, not a curated record.